RNAcentral lists this ribosomal RNA (259 nucleotides) under uncultured prokaryote. RNAcentral's name for it is "partial 16S ribosomal RNA". It matches the Rfam family "Bacterial small subunit ribosomal RNA", at positions 524 to 782 of the family's 1533-position model. The record is from RNAcentral.
UACGGAGGAUCCGAGCGUUAUCCGGAUUUAUUGGGUUUAAAGGGUGCGCAGGCGGAAGAUUAAGUCGGUGGUGAAAUUUUGCAGCUCAACUGUAAAAGUGCCAUUGAUACUGGUUUUCUUGAGUGUGGAUGAAGUAGGCGGAAUUUGUGGUGUAGCGGUGAAAUGCAUAGAUAUCACGAGGAACUCCGAUUGCGCAGGCAGCUUACUAAGCCAUAACUGACGCUCAGGCACGAAGGCGUGGGGAUCAAACAGGAUUAGA